UCUAUUACUACUACAUCAAAACAAAAACAAUACGACGCAAUAGUUUCUCGUUAGACAAAAGACGAGUAUUAUUCUGAGAAGGUGCUAAGUUUGAAUGGAGGUACAGGUCCAACGUAAAUAAACGGGUAGAAAAUUGGCUGUUGAAUUUUUCAAAAAUCCUGGAAUUUCGGGUAGGUUAACAUGGCACAGCAGACAUUUGUAGAGGCAUUGCGUUCAAAAUAUUGUGAUGAUUUUGAGAGCUCGGCAGCCAACGAUUUCGUUGUUGACAUUGUCAUAUUUGGGCCCCGUCCGAAUCGACGGUCUGCGAAAUUGACCAGCCUAGGUCUAGAGGACUGUGAUGAAGACAAUGGUGUGGUAUUAAACGAGCCAGAGUUUAAUUACCUAACAAAUGUGGUAUUAACAAAUUGUCAGAUAAGUAAAUGUGGAUUUCCAGCCAGCAGUGCGCUGGAUAUUUGUCCAAAUGUUGUUGACCUCGACCUCUCGAACAACUUCAUUGAUUGUUGGUCUGAAGUACUCUUGCUUUUAGAUAAUCUACCCAAGUUGGAGUUUCUGAAUCUCAGCUCAAACAGACUUCGAGACAAACAGCGCUGUUUGCAGUCACUUAAACGGUAUCAUGGCAAACUGAAUGCAAUUGUAUUGAACAAUACGGGAGUGCGAUGGCAGGAAGUGGUCAACCUUGCCCACCAUCUACCAGUCCUCAGGGACAUUCAUCUCUGUCUAAAUAACUACCACUCUAUUAACAUUGAGUCCCAUGAACUUGCCAGCUGUUUCCAAGGCUUAGAAUGUAUGAGGCUAAAUCAGAACUACUUUAAGCAGUGGGAUGAAAUUGCAAAACUAAGUGGCAUUAGCUCACUAAAAACACUAAUUCUGUCAGGUAAUCCACUCCAGAACAUUGUCUACAAUUCACAAAGAAAGCUGCAGUCUCCAAGACGACAAACAUCAACAAAUAGCCCCAAAGUUAUUGAACAAAAACAUGGUUUACUAUUCUUGUUGCAAGAGAAAGAUAAUAUGUUGAAUAAUGCUGUGGACUCGGACUCUUGUUACGGAAGUGCUGGUUCCACUUUUGAUGAAAAAGAUUGUGAAAUUGGUCAGCUUGUGGAUGACCUCAUAACCAAAUGUGCUGCUGAUUUUCAAGAAUCGCUGACCCAUCAGUGGUCAAGUCCGGAAACAUGGACCGGGGAGCAAACUUGUCCGAACCACUCCCUAACUCUUGAUAAACCUACAUGUCUGUGCCAACAAACCACAGAUUCAAGGUAUCUACCAAAUACAAUAUUUACUGAGAGUAGCACAGACUCUGAAUUGAAUGAUGGAUUGUCGACUGACUCUACCAAUCAUAAACAGGAUGAGGAGGAGUUUGAGGAGGCCACACCUCCUUUUCAAGGUCUGGAAUCUCUAUGUAUGAGUGAGACGAAGAUAUCUGGUUGGACAGAUUUGGAUGAAGUUGUGAAAUUUCCAAGCUUGUAUUCCUUUAAGAUCAGAAAUGUGCCAUUGGGCAGUGAAUUCACUUCUAUGGAGGACAGAAGGAAAAUAAUUGUUGCCAGCCUUCCAAAUAUCAUGUUACUUAAUGGAAGUGAGGUCAGCUCAGAUGAACAUGAAAGGUCAGAGCGAUUUUAUAUCCGACGUUUCAAUGAUGCAGCUAACCCACCAAGCCGCUAUUACAAGCUCAUUGAGAAACAUGGUAAAGUAAUCCCACCCAAGGAUCUUGAUCUUGCCAAAGGUUUUCAGCAACAUGCAACUCUAUCACUUAUGAUGGAUGAGAAAUGCAUCAAAACUAUUGAAAUCCAAACUAAGGAGUCGGUCGGAAAACUCAAGGACAUUUGUGCAGCUACUCUUAAAAUGCCUAAAAAUGUGAUGCGUCUAUUUCAUGUUUCCAAAAACAACCAAGUCGUAGAUGAAGAUGAUUAUGAAGAGCUUUUCUUGGAAUCCCUCCCUCUAAGCCGGUACAAUAUGGUAGAUGGUGAUGAGAUUCAUAUAGACAUCGAUUUUAACAUCUAGAAGGCAGUAGUUACCCAAGUUAUCAAUUAAUUCAGUCAAUUUGUUCAUUCAAAUUGACUGAAAUUUUUAAAUGAUAAAACAAAUAAAAAAGUACAAUACAUACUCAAAGUAUUGAAAUUCACGCCAUUGUGUUGGGAUUUAAUAUUUUGACAUUAAUUAUGUCAUCAUCAGGAAUGAUCAAUUGAAUAUAAUUAAAUUUAGAGAAAUUUAGUGGCGAAUUCAGGGGGGAAAAAGGGUGCUCUGCCCAACUUCCAGUAGCAGGCAUGAUAUCACUAAGUGUCAAAUCAUUUUGAUAAGAGAUUAAAUUGGCUCUGAAGCUGCCAUUAAGCAUAGUCCCUGGGCCCCCACAAUAGGUAAGGUAACACUCCAAAACAAUGCUCUCUCAACCAUAAAUUCUGCCCCAUUGGACCUUAGGUCCUUGAUUGUUACGCCACCCUUGCGAACAAAUUCUGGAUCCGCCACUGCUGUAGUAGACUAUUUUAUUGAUUGCAAGGGAAUGGAGGCUUGCCAUCCCAAAACCAGAGUAAUUAGCAUAAGAAUGUAUAUGUAUACUUUAGUACAGAGAAGCUGUAAGCUUUUACUCAUAACUUUGGCAACAGUAAGUUGAUUGCAGUAAAUGACCCACCAUUUUAAAGCUUAUAAUGUGGAGAAUAAGAAAAUAAAAAGUAAAUUUUCAUUUUUGGUAACUGAUACUGGUUUUGGAAUGGCAAGCCCCAUGUACUCAAAAUACAACAUCAUUACCAAUUGUACAGGGUAAGAAAUUUAUCGAAAAGCCUGGGAUAAUAAAUAAGAAGCUGGCCCAUAUUAACUAGCCAAUCAUAAAGUUUGUAUCAGUGUAACUCAAAUGUUGGUGCUUUAAAAAAACUAACUAACAGUAAAUUUUAUUAGGAGACAUGUGUACACUUGUUUCCUGGUUUUUAGACAAAAUUGCUUUGUAGAUUUAUUGGCCUGUUCCUAAAAAAUGUUGUUUUUAUUGUGCAAACUUGAUGCAGACAGCUAUUUAUCAAUUCAUAUAGGGUGCAUAUAUAUUUAAUGUUUGACUAUAAAAUACUACAGUACAGUAUUAAAAGUUUUAAUGCAAUAGUCUAAGUUACAUUUCCGACGGUUAAGCCGUUAGGCUUAAAUGCAUAUUCUAUGGGCAGCUAGUGGCUCCAUUUCCAGUUUCUCGGCUGUAUUCGUUUCUCUUAAACACGUACCCCUAUAAAUUCCUUUUUCAUUUUGUUGCUGCGAUAUGCUGUUGUGUACCAACGGAUGUCAUGAAUUAAGUAAUGGAUUAAUUAAAUAACCUACUAAACAGAGUUUGUAACACAGUAUUCAUUUUAAGAAUGUUGCAAAAAAGGUUGGUGUGAUGGCAUUAUUUAAUAUUGUAAUAUUAUUUACUUACAUUAGUAUUUUAAAUCAUACACUUAUUUAUAGUGUAUUUAUUAUAUAGUUGUAGAAAUGCAUACUUAAUAUAUAUAUUCAUAUACUUCUGCAAGUCCAAAUACUAUGGUAUCAUAUUCAAUUGCAGAAUUUGUUAUCAAUUUUAUUGCCAUUAUAAGUCUAUCAUUAUUCAUAAUUGUUUUAUUUAGUAGUGAAGAUAGGCCAAGGGUGAGUGUUCGUAUUUCUAUUUGUAUUUCUUGUAUGUUUUAAUGUUUUAUUUAGUAGUGAAUCUAUACCAGAAAGUUUAUUUGGUGUACAAGUACAAGACACGCCCUUCAAUUCGAGACCACUUUGGGAUCUGAAAAUUUGGGGUAGUCUCGGGUUCGGUCUCGAAUAAGAGGGUGCACUGUACUUGUUAUUAAUACUUAUAUAUUAUUGCAAUUUUUUUAAUUAAUUAUUUAGUAGAGAAAAUAAGCCAGUGGGUAAACAUUGACCAUUUCCGAAUGCAAUAUUUUUUGUGGAGAACUAACAGUCAGGAAAAGAAAUGCAUUGCUUGCACAUUAAGGAUUUGAAUAAUUAUUACCUAGUAUUUAUUGUAGUUUCCAUGCAAAGGAAUUACAGAACAGCAAGUUUCUUUGGUCUAACUGCAUGAAAUUAAUUUAUUAUUUAAAUAAUAAUGUCUGUGUUGGAAAUACCUCAGAGUUUAAAAAAAAUGAAGUGCGUAAUUAAAAUGAUAAAAUAAAUUAUCAACAUCCAAAGUGACACAGAUCAAUACAAUUGGAAGCUAAAUCUGCAUUUUACUUUCAAAUAUAAAACAAUUUGAAUAUUAUAUUUUAAUUUCAAUACAGACAGUACAGUAGUUAUUAUAUGUUGGAGUAAUUAAGAAUCAUAAUAUAGAUGUAUUAUUAGUGUCAAUCUCAGAUGUUAAUUUAACAUUCAUCCUUUGUAAAAUCUAAACAUCCUGAGAUUUCCAAGCUAUGAUUGACUGUGAUGUACAGUACAGUAGUCCACAAUCAUGUUCAUAUUUAGAUUCUAUUGGUGAUAAUGAAUUAAUGCAUGUGUGUGCUGUUGAAUAAUUUUAGUCUGUUUUGUGUACACUAACAAAAUUUCAGUUUUUUACUAUCAUGGGUAAAAAGUAUAAUUAAGAAUGCUUAAACAUAGUGAUGCUGCAAGUAUGUUACAUUAGAAGCAGUCUUACAGAAUGUAUUUUUUCAGGGUAAAAUGAGAAUUUAUUUAGGAAUGUAUUUUUAAUGAUCUUUAGAAUACGAGAAGGUGAAGAUGGUUGGAAUAAAACACAAAUUAACAAA
This 4664-nucleotide unclassified non-coding RNA is filed under the name Anneissia japonica. Its description in RNAcentral is "tubulin-specific chaperone cofactor E-like protein, transcript variant X1". The record is from RNAcentral. Lineage: Eukaryota; Metazoa; Echinodermata; Crinoidea; Comatulida; Comatulidae.